CAGUAGCCGCGGGAAUACGAAGGGUGCAGGCGAUACUCGGAAUUACUGGGUGUAAAGCGUGCGUAGGUGGUGGUUUAAGUCCGUUGUGAAAGCCCUGGGCUCAACCUGGGAAUUGCAGUGGAUACUGGAUCACUAGAGUGUGGUAGAGGAUAGUGGAAUUUCCGGUGUAGCAGUGAAAUGCGUAGAGAUCGGAGGGAACAUCUGUGGCGAAGGCGACUAUCUGGGCCAACACUGACACUGAGGCACGAAAGCGUGGGGAGCAAACAGGAUUAGAGACCCCCGUAGUCCCUGUCUCUUAUAC
This 301-nucleotide ribosomal RNA is filed under the name uncultured bacterium. RNAcentral describes it as "partial 16S ribosomal RNA". It matches the Rfam family "Bacterial small subunit ribosomal RNA", at positions 509 to 807 of the family's 1533-position model. The record is from RNAcentral.